UACGUAGGGUGCGAGCGUUAAUCGGAAUUACUGGGCGUAAAGCGUGCGCAGGCGGCGCGUUAAGACAGGUGUGAAAGCCCCGAGCUUAACUUGGGAAUUGCGCUUGUGACUGGCGUGCUGGAGUGUGGCAGAGGGAGGUGGAAUUCCACGUGUAGCAGUGAAAUGCGUAGAUAUCUGGAGGAAUACCGGUGGCGAAGGCGGCAUCCUGGACCGAGAUUGACGCUGAUGAGCGAAAGCUAGGGGAGCAAACGGG
RNAcentral lists this ribosomal RNA (253 nucleotides) under uncultured bacterium. RNAcentral's name for it is "partial 16S ribosomal RNA". It matches the Rfam family "Bacterial small subunit ribosomal RNA", at positions 524 to 776 of the family's 1533-position model. The record is from RNAcentral.